GGUAUUCUUAACACAUGCAAGUCGAACGGUAGCAGGCCUUCGGGCGCUGACGAGUGGCGGACGGGUGAGUAAUGCAUAGGAAUCUGCCUAUUAGUGGGGGAUAACGUGGGGAAACUCACGCUAAUACCGCAUACGACCUACGGGUGAAAGCUGGGGACCUUCGGGCCUGGCGCUAAUAGAUGAGCCUAUGUUGGAUUAGC
This 200-nucleotide ribosomal RNA is filed under the name uncultured Methylomonas sp. RNAcentral describes it as "partial 16S ribosomal RNA". It matches the Rfam family "Bacterial small subunit ribosomal RNA", at positions 41 to 245 of the family's 1533-position model. The record is from RNAcentral. Lineage: Bacteria; Pseudomonadati; Pseudomonadota; Gammaproteobacteria; Methylococcales; Methylococcaceae.